GUAGGGACGAAGCUAACGUGACGGUACCUACAGAAGAAGGACCGGCCAACUACGUGCCAGCAGCCGCGGUGAUACGUAGGGUCCGAGCGUUGUCCGGAAUUAUUGGGCGUAAAGAGCUCGUAGGCGGCUUGUCACGUCGGAAGUGAAAUCUCGGAGCUCAACUCCGAGCCUGCUUCCGAUACGGGCUAGCUAGAGGAAGGUAGGGGAGAAUGGAAUUCCGGGUGGAGCGGUGGAAUGCGCAGAUAUCCGGAGGAACACCAGUGGCGAAGGCGGUUCUCUGGACCUUUCCUGACGCUGAGGAGCGAAAGCGUGGGGAGCAAACAGGCUUAGAUACCCUGGUAGUCCACGCCGUAAACGGUGGGCACUAGGUGUGGGACUCAUUCCGCGAGUUCCGUGCCGUAGCUAACGCAUUAAGUGCCCCGCCUGGGGAGUACGGCCGCAAGGCUAAAACUCAAAGGAAUUGACGGAAUCACUA
RNAcentral lists this ribosomal RNA (475 nucleotides) under uncultured bacterium. Its description in RNAcentral is "bacterial SSU rRNA". It matches the Rfam family "Bacterial small subunit ribosomal RNA", at positions 439 to 924 of the family's 1533-position model. The record is from RNAcentral.